UACGGAGGGUGCGAGCGUUAUCCGGAAUUACUGGGUUUAAAGGGUGCGUAGGCGGCUAUGUAAGUCAGGAGUGAAAGUUUGCGGCUCAACCGUAAAAUUGCUUUUGAUACUGCAUGGCUGGAAUUAGGUUGAGGUCAGCGGAAUGUGGCAUGUAGCGGUGAAAUGCAUAGAUAUGCCAUAGAACACCAAUUGCGAAGGCAGCUGGCUAGACCUGGAUUGACGCUGAGGCACGAAAGCGUGGGGAGCGAACAGG
Molecule: ribosomal RNA, 253 nt
Filed under: uncultured Lewinella sp.
Lineage: Bacteria; Pseudomonadati; Bacteroidota; Saprospiria; Saprospirales; Lewinellaceae
Description: partial 16S ribosomal RNA
Rfam family: Bacterial small subunit ribosomal RNA
Source: RNAcentral